UACAUUUUGGUGUAUGGUGCACAAGAAUUUUUGAUAUUCUGAGAGAUAGUUUAACUCUAUUAAAUGUAG
RNAcentral lists this transfer RNA (69 nucleotides) under Blattella lituricollis (false German cockroach). Its description in RNAcentral is "tRNA-Gln". Lineage: Eukaryota; Metazoa; Arthropoda; Insecta; Blattodea; Blattellidae. The record is from RNAcentral. RNAcentral also lists the same sequence under 1 other name.